Molecule: ribosomal RNA, 455 nt
Filed under: uncultured bacterium
Lineage: Bacteria
Description: bacterial SSU rRNA
Rfam family: Bacterial small subunit ribosomal RNA
Source: RNAcentral
UACGGGAGGCAGCAGGGGGGAAUAUUGCACAAUGGGCGCAAGCCUGAUGCAGCCAUGCCGCGUGUAUGAAGAAGGCCUUCGGGUUGUAAAGUACUUUCAGUCGUGAGGAAGGUGUUAAGGUUAAUAACCUUAGCAAUUGACGUUAGCGACAGAAGAAGCACCGGCUAACUCCGUGCCAGCAGCCGCGGUAAUACGGAGGGUGCGAGCGUUAAUCGGAAUUACUGGGCGUAAAGGGCACGCAGGCGGUUAAUUAAGUUGGAUGUGAAAUCCCCGGGCUUAACCUGGGAAUGGCAUUCAAGACUGGUUAGCUAGAGUCUUGUAGAGGGGGUAGAAUUCCAUGUGUAGCGGUGAAAUGCGUAGAGAUGUGGAGGAAUACCGGUGGCGAAGGCGGCCCCGUGGACAAAGACUGACGCUCAUGUGCGAAAGCGUGGGGAGCAAACGAGGGAUUAGAUACC